Molecule: ribosomal RNA, 253 nt
Filed under: uncultured bacterium
Lineage: Bacteria
Description: partial 16S ribosomal RNA
Rfam family: Bacterial small subunit ribosomal RNA
Source: RNAcentral
UACGAAGGGGGCUAGCGUUGCUCGGAAUCACUGGGCGUAAAGCGCACGUAGGCGGCUUCUUAAGUCAGGGGUGAAAUCCUGGAGCUCAACUCCAGAACUGCCUUUGAUACUGGGAAGCUCGAGUCCGGGAGAGGUGAGUGGAACUCCGAGUGUAGAGGUGAAAUUCGUAGAUAUUCGGAAGAACACCAGUGGCGAAGGCGGCUCACUGGCCCGGUACUGACGCUGAGGUGCGAAAGCGUGGGGAGCAAACAGG